This 301-nucleotide ribosomal RNA is filed under the name uncultured bacterium. RNAcentral's name for it is "partial 16S ribosomal RNA". It matches the Rfam family "Bacterial small subunit ribosomal RNA", at positions 509 to 807 of the family's 1533-position model. The record is from RNAcentral.
CAGCCGCCGCGGUAACACGGAGGGGGCUAGCGUUGUUCGGAAUUACUGGGCGUAAAGCGCACGUAGGCGGCUUGGUAAGUUAGAGGUGAAAGCCUGGAGCUCAACUCCAGAAUUGCCUUUAAGACUGCCGAGCUAGCAGGUGAGAGAGGUAAGUGGAAUUCCGAGUGUAGAGGUGAAAUUCGUAGAUAUUCGGAAGAACACCAGUGGCGAAGGCGGCUUACUGGCUCAUACUGGACGCUGAGGUGCGAAAGCGUGGGGAGCAAACAGGAUUAGAUACCCCAGUAGUCCCUGUCUCUUAUAC